AGAUUGAACGCUGGCGGCAGGCCUAACACAUGCAAGUCGAGCGGUAGAGAGGUGCUUGCACCUCUUGAGAGCGGCGGACGGGUGAGUAAUGCCUAGGAAUCUGCCUAGUGGUGGGGGAUAACGUUCGGAAACGGACGCUAAUACCGCAUACGUCCUACGGGAGAAAGCGGGGGACCUUCGGGCCUCGCGCCAUUAGAUGAGCCUAGGUCGGAUUAGCUAGUUGGUGAGGUAAUGGCUCACCAAGGCGACGAUCCGUAACUGGUCUGAGAGGAUGAUCAGUCACACUGGAACUGAGACACGGUCCAGACUCCGUACGGGAGCAGCAGUGGGAAUA
This 334-nucleotide ribosomal RNA is filed under the name uncultured soil bacterium. Its description in RNAcentral is "bacterial SSU rRNA". It matches the Rfam family "Bacterial small subunit ribosomal RNA", at positions 26 to 363 of the family's 1533-position model. The record is from RNAcentral.